Molecule: unclassified non-coding RNA, 201 nt
Filed under: Hevea brasiliensis (rubber tree)
Lineage: Eukaryota; Viridiplantae; Streptophyta; Magnoliopsida; Malpighiales; Euphorbiaceae
Source: RNAcentral
GGUUUUCCUGCAAUAGUUAGCCCCUUUGCAACUAGAAGGCUUCCUUUCCCUAGUGGUGUUUUUGAUGCCAUUCACUGUGGCGAGUGCAGCAUUCCAUGGCAUUCUNNAAGCUUCUUCUGGAGAUGAAUCGGAUUUUAAGGCCUGGUGGAUACUGCAUUUUGUCAACUACACAUGACAAUGUUGAAGAGGAAGAAGCCAUGA